This 74-nucleotide transfer RNA is filed under the name Parrhinotermes browni. RNAcentral's name for it is "tRNA-Tyr". Lineage: Eukaryota; Metazoa; Arthropoda; Insecta; Blattodea; Rhinotermitidae. The record is from RNAcentral.
AGUGGAAUGGCUGAGAUAUAAAUAGGCGAUAGGCUGUAAAUCUAUUUAGGGACAAUUAUUUUGUUCUUCCACUA